This is a long non-coding RNA of Gadus morhua (Atlantic cod), 555 nucleotides long. RefSeq lists it as uncharacterized. The transcript has 4 exons. The record is from RefSeq and is a predicted model, not a curated record. Lineage: Eukaryota; Metazoa; Chordata; Actinopteri; Gadiformes; Gadidae.
CCCGUUUGGAAUGUUAUUGAAUGGACGUAAUCAGUGGUUAUCAGCCCCAAAACUAACAUUAGAAAUGUGGACCGUAAAUGUUGUGGAUUUCACUUCAUGUUUCAUUGUGAUUUAUGUUAUAACCAGUGUGAUAUUUAACACUGAGUUUUUCAUUAGGUCUAACCGGAGCUGGUCUUAUAUCUGUGUUGAAGGCUGAACCUGGACCUGGGCCAGACCGAUACAACCAGGUCUAACCGGAGCUGGUCUUAUCUCGGUGUUGAUGGCUGAACCUGGACCUGGGCCAGACCGAUGCAACCAGCCAUCCUGGUUGGCAUCCAUGGCCAACUGGGUAAGGAGUUGGACAACUAACCGGUGGGUGGUCGGUUCAAAUCCCGACUCGAAUCCCGACCGGGACACAGAAAAUGUGAAUAGGAUGAACAAGGACAGUUGUAAGAUCGUAGUGCUGGCAGCACUGGGCCGGCCCUUCAGUCUGGGGAUGCUCUACGACUGUCGCAACGACUCACUGAUCCCUGGUAAAUAAAUACAAGUCCCGAGUCUAACGGACAAGACACAAGA